This 446-nucleotide ribosomal RNA is filed under the name uncultured bacterium. RNAcentral's name for it is "partial 16S ribosomal RNA". It matches the Rfam family "Bacterial small subunit ribosomal RNA", at positions 338 to 795 of the family's 1533-position model. The record is from RNAcentral.
CCUACGGGAGGCAGCAGUCGAGAAUCAUUCACAAUGGGGGAAACCCUGAUGGUGCGACGCCGCGUGGGGGAAUGAAGGUCUUCGGAUUGUAAACCCCUGUCAUGUGGGAGCAAAUUAAAAAGAUAGUACCACAAGAGGAAGAGACGGCUAACUCUGUGCCAGCAGCCGCGGUAAUCCAGAGGUCUCAAGCGUUGUUCGGAAUCACUGGGCGUAAAGCGUGCGUAGGCUGUUUCGUAGUUCGUGUGUGAAAGGCGCGGGCUCAACCCGCGGACGGCACAUGAUACUGCGAGACUAGAGUAAUGGAGGGGGAACCGGAAUUCUCGGUGUAGCAGUGAAAGGCGGAGAUAUCGAGAGGAACACUCGUGGCGAAGGCGGGUUCCUGGACAUUAACUGACGCGGAGGCACGAAGGCCAGGGGAGCGAAAGGGAUUAGAUACCCGGGUAGUC